Molecule: long non-coding RNA, 1309 nt
Filed under: Homo sapiens (human)
Lineage: Eukaryota; Metazoa; Chordata; Mammalia; Primates; Hominidae
Description: HSALNT0282047
Source: RNAcentral
GGCACACACCACCACGCCCAGCUAAUUUUUGUACUUUUAGUAGAGACAGGGUUUCACCAUGUUGGCCAGGAUGGUCUUGAUCUCUUGACCUUGUGAUCUGCCCGCGUCGGCCUCCCAAAGUGUUGGGAUUACAGGCGUGAGUUGCCUAUUUUUUUUUUUAAGGUGUGCACUUUUAUUCAACUGGUCUCAAGUCAGUGUACAGGUAAGCCCUGGCUGCCUCCACCCACUCCCAGGGAGACCAAAAGCCUUCAGAGAGAAGUGGGGUGGCUUUUAGGAGGGCAAGGGACUUCCUGUAAUAAUGCAUCUCAUGAUAUUUGGAAUGACUAUUAAAAAAAAGAACAAUAUACAAUCAAAGUCCUUGGCCACAUUGUAGAACUUUGGGGAAUGCUUGUGUCAACCGACUGCUGUCACCUCCACCGUUCCAGUUUUCAAAUCCUGAAUCAGGCCAAAAACAAAAACAAAAACAAAAAACAAAACAAACAAAAAGCAAAUACAGCCAUGCCAAUCUCAUCUCGCUUUCUGUGAAAGUUAGGUUUUGUCAAGAAAGGGUGUAAUGUAGGCUGGGCGCGGUGGCUCACGCCUGUAAUCCCAGCACUUUGGGAAGCCAAGGUGGGUGGAUCACCUGAGGUCAGGAGUUCCAGGCCAGCCUAGCCAACAUGGUGAAACCUUGUAUCUACUAAAAAUACAAAAAAUUAGCCAGGCUAAUGCCUGUAAUUAUCCUGCACAUGCCUGUAAUCCCAGCUACUUGGGAGGCUGAGGCAGGAGAAUCUCUUGAACCUGGGAGGUGGAGGUUGCAGUGAGCCAAGAUCGUACUAUUACACUCCAGCCUGGGCAACAAGAGCAAAACUCCGUCUCAAAAAUAAAUAAAUAAAUAAAAAUAAAUCAGCCGAGAUCACACCACUGCACUCCAGCCUGGGUGACAGAGCAAGACUCCAUUUCAAAACAAACAAACAAACAAACAAAAACAAACCAAAACAAAAAACCCUCUUUGGAAAAAACUACAGGCCACAGAUCCUACUGCAACUUGUGUUUGUUUUUCCUGGGUGUGUUCUCAACCUUAGCGAAAUAAACUUCUAGACUGAUUAAGAUCUGUCUCGGACACUUUUUGGUUUACACUAAUAUACAUGAGUGAAAGGCUUUUUUUGUUUUUUGUUUUAGAGACUUUAUAUUAUGAAAAUUUUCAGCCAUACACAAAAAUACUACUCAUCAUUCAGUUUCAACAAUCAUCAACAUUUUAACAUUUUUGUUUAUCCCACUCCCAUUUCUUUUUUUCCUCUGGACAUUUUAAAAUGUAUCCCAGACACCGUAU